Molecule: ribosomal RNA, 460 nt
Filed under: uncultured bacterium
Lineage: Bacteria
Description: partial 16S ribosomal RNA
Rfam family: Bacterial small subunit ribosomal RNA
Source: RNAcentral
CCUACGGGAGGCAGCAGUGAGGAAUAUUGGUCAAUGGGCGCGAGCCUGAACCAGCCAAGUAGCGUGAAGGAUGACUGCCCUACGGGUUGUAAACUUCUUUUAUAAGGGAAUAAAGUGCGGGACGUGUCCCGUUUUGUAUGUACCUUAUGAAUAAGGAUCGGCUAACUGCGUGCCAGCAGCCGCGGUAAUACGGAGGAUCCGAGCGUUAUCCGGAUUUAUUGGGUUUAAAGGGUGCGUAGGCGGCCUUUUAAGUCAGCGGUGAAAGUCUGUGGCUCAACCAUAGAAUUGCCGUUGAAACUGGGAGGCUUGAGUAUGUUUGAGGCAGGCGGAAUGCGUGGUGUAGCGGUGAUAUGCUUAGAUAUCACGCAGAACCCCGAUUGCGAAGGCAGCCUGCCAAGCCAUGACUGACGCUGAUGCACGAAAGCGUGGGGAUCAAACAGGAUUAGAUACCCCUGUAGUC